This 301-nucleotide ribosomal RNA is filed under the name uncultured bacterium. Its description in RNAcentral is "partial 16S ribosomal RNA". It matches the Rfam family "Bacterial small subunit ribosomal RNA", at positions 509 to 807 of the family's 1533-position model. The record is from RNAcentral.
CAGUCGCCGCGGGAAUACGAAGGGGGCUAGCGUUGUUCGGAAUUACUGGGCGUAAAGCGCGCGCAGGCGGUCUUCCAAGUCAGUGGUGAAAGCCCGGAGCUCAACUCCGGAACUGCCAUUGAAACUGUGAGACUUGAGUAUGAGAGAGGUGAGUGGAAUUCCCAGUGUAGAGGUGAAAUUCGUAGAUAUUGGGAAGAACACCGGUGGCGAAGGCGGCUCACUGGCUCAUUACUGACGCUCAGGCGCGACAGCGUGGGGAUCAAACAGGAUUAGAUACCCGCGUAGUCCCUGUCUCUUAUAC